GACGAACGCUGGCGGCGUGCUUAACACAUGCAAGUCGAGCGGUAAGGCCCUUUCGGGGGUACACGAGCGGCGAACGGGUGAGUAACACGUGGGUGACCUGCCCUUAGCUCUGGGAUAAGCCUGGGAAACUGGGUCUAAUACCGGAUAUGACUCCAUGACGCAUGUUGUGGGGUGGAAAGCCUUGUGCGGCUAGGGAUGGGCCCGCGGCCUAUCAGCUUGUUGGUGGGGUGAUGGCCUACCAAGGCGACGACGGUAGCCGGCCUGAGAGGGCGACCGGCCACACUGGGACUGAGACACGGCCCAGACUCCUACGGGAGGCAGCAGUGGGGAAUCUUGCGCAAUGGGCGAAAGCCUGACGCAGCGACGCCGCGUGGGGAUGACGGCCU
This 386-nucleotide ribosomal RNA is filed under the name uncultured bacterium. Its description in RNAcentral is "bacterial SSU rRNA". It matches the Rfam family "Bacterial small subunit ribosomal RNA", at positions 28 to 417 of the family's 1533-position model. The record is from RNAcentral.